ACACUCCUGCGGGAGGCAGCAGUGGGGAAUAUUGCACAAUGGGCGCAAGCCUGAUGCAGCCAUGCCGCGUGUAUGAAGAAGGCCUUCGGGUUGUAAAGUACUUUCAGCGGGGAGGAAGGCGAUAAGGUUAAUAACCUUGUUGAUUGACGUUACCCGCAGAAGAAGCACCGGCUAACUCCGUGCCAGCAGCCGCGGUAAUACGGAGGGUGCAAGCGUUAAUCGGAAUUACUGGGCGUAAAGCGCACGCAGGCGGUCUGUCAAGUCGGAUGUGAAAUCCCCGGGCUCAACCUGGGAACUGCAUUCGAAACUGGCAGGCUAGAGUCUUGUAGAGGGAGGUAGAAUUCCAGGUGUAGCGGUGAAAUGCGUAGAGAUCUGGAGGAAUACCGGUGGCGAAGGCGGCCCCCUGGACAAAGACUGACGCUCAGGUGCGAAAGCGUGGGGAGCAAACAGGAUUAGAUACCCGUGUAGUCCCA
Molecule: ribosomal RNA, 473 nt
Filed under: uncultured organism
Description: partial 16S ribosomal RNA
Rfam family: Bacterial small subunit ribosomal RNA
Source: RNAcentral